This 215-nucleotide unclassified non-coding RNA is filed under the name Bannoa syzygii. Lineage: Eukaryota; Fungi; Basidiomycota; Cystobasidiomycetes; Erythrobasidiales; Erythrobasidiaceae. The record is from RNAcentral.
AAUUCUCAACCCCCCUAUUUUGUAAUGAGAUAGGAGCUAGGGCUUGGAUGUGGUUGUUGCAGGCUCUUUAAGUAGAGCCAGCUCGACUGAAAUACAUGAGCAACCCAGUUUGAAAACAAAGCGGCUUGACUCGACGUAAUAAUUAUUCGUUGAGGACGCUUACAUUUCAAGAUAGUUGGUGCUUCUAAUGCGUACCUCGGUACAAUCUUAAGCUU